UGGGUGUGAGAUGCUUUUAUGAGCUGU
RNAcentral lists this non-coding RNA (27 nucleotides) under Homo sapiens (human). The record is from RNAcentral. Lineage: Eukaryota; Metazoa; Chordata; Mammalia; Primates; Hominidae.